UCCGGAGGGAGCUAACGUUGUUCGGAAUUACUGGGCGUAAAGCGCACGUAGGCGGCUUUUUAAGUCAGGGGUGAAAUCACGGGGCUCAACCUCGGAACUGCACUUGAAACUGGGAAGCUAGAAUCUUGGAGAGGCGAGUGGAAUUCCGAGUGUAGAGGUGAAAUUCGUAGAUAUUCGGAAGAACACCAGUGGCGAAGGCGACUCGCUGGACAAGUAUUGACGCUGAGGUGCGAAAGCGUGGGAAGCAAACCGG
RNAcentral lists this ribosomal RNA (253 nucleotides) under uncultured bacterium. RNAcentral describes it as "partial 16S ribosomal RNA". It matches the Rfam family "Bacterial small subunit ribosomal RNA", at positions 524 to 776 of the family's 1533-position model. The record is from RNAcentral.